AGCCAGACUCCUACGGGAGGCAGCAGUGGGGAAUAUUGGGCAAUGGGCGCAAGCCUGACCCAGCAACGCCGCGUGAAGGAAGAAGGCUUUCGGGUUGUAAACUUCUUUUCUCAGGGACGAAGAAAGUGACGGUACCUGAGGAAUAAGCCACGGCUAACUACGUGCCAGCAGCCGCGGUAAUACGGAGGAUCCGAGCGUUAUCCGGAUUUAUUGGGUUUAAAGGGAGCGUAGGCGGGUUGUUAAGUCAGUUGUGAAAGUUUGCGGCUCAACCGUAAAAUUGCAGUUGAUACUGGCAUCCUUGAGUACAGUAGAGGUAGGCGGAAUUCGUGGUGUAGCGGUGAAAUGCUUAGAUAUCACGAAGAACUCCGAUUGCGAAGGCAGCCUGCUGGACUGUAACUGACGCUGAUGCUCGAAAGCGUGGGGAGCAAACAGGAUUAGAUACCCCUGUA
This 449-nucleotide ribosomal RNA is filed under the name uncultured bacterium. RNAcentral's name for it is "bacterial SSU rRNA". It matches the Rfam family "Bacterial small subunit ribosomal RNA", at positions 329 to 792 of the family's 1533-position model. The record is from RNAcentral.